CCAGAUUUGGCUCCCUGAGAGGACAGAUGGGCCCACAGAGCAGGGUUCCCUUGAAAGGCAACAACAGGUAGGAGCUUGGUAAGAGGCCAGAAUUGAAAUGAGGAAGAAGCCUGAGCAGAAAAGAUUCAAAUACUCCUCUUUUGAAGAUCAUCACUGCCAUCUGUUUCAGAAAAAGAAUUAUAUAUGAGAUUGCUCCAAUGUACUAACAAAGAAUGCUGAAAAUAAUAUCUUUGUGCCUAUACUUGAAUAUUUCUGAAGAAUAAAUGCCUAGAGAAGAAAUGGAUGGAUCAGAAGAGGCCAAAGUGAUGGGGAAGCAGGGAUGCCUUCUUCAUGGUCAUUGUCCCUAUCCAAGGCCUCCAAGGAUCUAACAGGAGGCCAGAACCACAGAAUGGAAGAUGCCUGGCAUCCAGAAUGAUCUUAUGGAAGUCAGCCUGACUGGGAACUCUUGCAC
Molecule: long non-coding RNA, 451 nt
Organism: Zalophus californianus (California sea lion)
Lineage: Eukaryota; Metazoa; Chordata; Mammalia; Carnivora; Otariidae
Exons: 4
Source: RefSeq, a predicted model, not a curated record